RNAcentral lists this ribosomal RNA (291 nucleotides) under uncultured Bacteroides sp. RNAcentral's name for it is "partial 16S ribosomal RNA". It matches the Rfam family "Bacterial small subunit ribosomal RNA", at positions 55 to 339 of the family's 1533-position model. Lineage: Bacteria; Pseudomonadati; Bacteroidota; Bacteroidia; Bacteroidales; Bacteroidaceae. The record is from RNAcentral.
AUGCAAGUCGAGGGGCAUCAGGAAGAAAGCUUGCUUUCUUUGCUGGCGACCGGCGCACGGGUGAGUAACACGUAUCCAACCUGCCCUUUACUCGGGGAUAGCCUUUCGAAAGAAAGAUUAAUACCCGAUGGCAUAGUUCUUCCGCAUGGUAGAACUAUUAAAGAAUUUCGGUAAAGGAUGGGGAUGCGUUCCAUUAGGUUGUUGGUGAGGUAACGGCUCACCAAGCCUUCGAUGGAUAGGGGUUCUGAGAGGAAGGUCCCCACAUUGGAACUGAGACACGGUCCAAACUCC